CCUACGGGGGGCAGCAGUGAGGAAUAUUGGUCAAUGGGCGGGAGCCUGAACCAGCCAAGUCGCGUGAGGGAAGACGGUCCUAUGGAUUGUAAACCUCUUUAGGCGGGGAGCAAUGCCGGGCACGCGUGCCCGGAGGGAGAGUACCCGCAGAAUAAGCAUCGGCUAACUCCGUGCCAGCAGCCGCGGUAAUACGGAGGAUGCGAGCGUUAUCCGGAUUUAUUGGGUUUAAAGGGUGCGUAGGCGGAUUUUUAAGUCAGCGGUAAAAUGUCCGGGCUCAACCCGGGCCGGCCGUUGAAACUGGGGAGCUUGAGUGGGCGAGAAGUAUGCGGAAUGCGUGGUGUAGCGGUGAAAUGCAUAGAUAUCACGCAGAACUCCGAUUGCGAAGGCAGCAUACCGGCGCCCGACUGACGCUGAGGCACGAAAGUGUGGGGAUCGAACAGGAUUAGAUACCCCGGUAGUC
This 460-nucleotide ribosomal RNA is filed under the name uncultured bacterium. RNAcentral describes it as "partial 16S ribosomal RNA". It matches the Rfam family "Bacterial small subunit ribosomal RNA", at positions 338 to 795 of the family's 1533-position model. The record is from RNAcentral.